UUAACACAUGCAAGUCGAACGAUGAAGCCCUUCGGGGUGGAUUAGUGGCGAACGGGUGAGUAACACGUGGGCAAUCUGCUCUUCACUCUGGGACAAGCCCUGGAAACGGGGUCUAAUACCGGAUAACACUCUGUCCCGCAUGGGACGGGGUUAAAAGCUCCGGCGGUGAAGGAUGAGCCCGCGGCCUAUCAGCUUGUUGGUGGGGUGAUGGCCUACCAAGGCGACGACAGGUAGCCGGCCUGAGAGGGCGACCGGCCACACUGGGACUGAGACACGGCCCAGACUCCUACGGGAGGCAGCAGUGGGGAAUAUUGCACAAUGGGCGAAAGCCUGAUGCAGCGACGCCGCGUGAGGGAUGACGGCCUUCGGGUUGUAAACCUCUUCCAGCAGGGAAGAAGCGAGAGUGACGGUACCUGCAGAAGAAGCGCCGGCUAACUACGUGCCAGCAGCCGCGGUAAUACGUAGGGCGCAAGCGUUGUCCGGAAUUAUUGGGCGUAAAGAGCUCGUAGGCGGCUUGUCACGUCGGAUGUGAAAGCCCGGGGCUUAACCCCGGGUCUGCAUUCGAUACGGGCUAGCUAGAGUGUGGUAGGGGAGAUCGGAAUUCCUGGUGUAGCGGUGAAAUGCGCAGAUAUCAGGAGGAACACCGGUGGCGAAGGCGGAUCUCUGGGCCAUUACUGGCGCUGAGGAGCGAAAGCGUGGGGAGCGAACAGGAUUAGAUACCCUGGUAGUCCACGCCGUAAACGUUGGGAACUAGGUGUUGGCGACAUUCCACGUCGUCGGUGCCGCAGCUAACGCAUUAAGUUCCCCGCCUGGGGAGUACGGCCGCAAGGCUAAAACUCAGAGGAAUUGACGGGGGCCCGCACAAGCAGCGGAGCAUGUGGCUUAAUUCGACGCAACGCGAAGAACCUUACCAAGGCUUGACAUAUACCGGAAAGCAUCAGAGAUGGUGCCCCCCUUGUGGUCGGUAUACAGGUGGUGCAUGGCUGUCGUCAGCUCGUGUCGUGAGAUGUUGGGUUAAGUCCCGCAACGAGCGCAACCCUUGUUCUGUGUUGCCAGCAUGCCCUUCGGGGUGAUGGGGACUCACAGGAGACUGCCGGGGUCAACUCGGAGGAAGGUGGGGACGACGUCAAGUCAUCAUGCCCCUUAUGUCUUGGGCUGCACACGUGCUACAAUGGCCAGUACAAUGAGCUGCGAUGCCGC
Molecule: ribosomal RNA, 1200 nt
Filed under: Streptomyces griseus
Lineage: Bacteria; Bacillati; Actinomycetota; Actinomycetes; Kitasatosporales; Streptomycetaceae
Description: bacterial SSU rRNA
Rfam family: Bacterial small subunit ribosomal RNA
Source: RNAcentral